Piliocolobus tephrosceles (Ugandan red Colobus) is the source of this 497-nucleotide long non-coding RNA. RefSeq lists it as uncharacterized. Lineage: Eukaryota; Metazoa; Chordata; Mammalia; Primates; Cercopithecidae. The transcript is spliced from 4 exons. The record is from RefSeq and is a predicted model, not a curated record.
AUUGGGUGAAGGGUAGGGGAAGCAGUUUGGGAAGAGGAGAAGGGGAGUGUGACACAGCUGUCAACUCAGGUCCCAGAGAAAAGCAAAGUGAUCGCAUGGCUGACUGACAGAGAGUUGGGACUCAUGGCCACCGCCUAGCAUCUCGAGGUAUUGUCGCACUGCCUAUCACUAGCCUCCGGAAAGAUCAAAUUCCAAACCCCGAAGUAUGCCUUCUACAGAAUGUGGAUCGCCUUUGUACCACUGUAAAGUUGAAACAUCGUAAGUCAAACCAUAGAGUCAUUAAAGGAGAGUACCGAUGAUAAGGACUGAAGUCAUGGGUAUGCGUUUGAGAACCGGACUCAUGCAAAAGAAGCAGGAACAUUCAUAGAGUCUCUCUCCAUCGCUUAGGCUAAAGUGCAAUGGCACGAUCUCGGCUCACUGCAACCUCUGCCUCGUGGAUUCAAGGAUUUCAUGCUUCAGUCGCCAGAGUAGCUGGGAUUACAGGCUUCUACCACCAC